RNAcentral lists this transfer RNA (74 nucleotides) under Phoenicopterus ruber ruber. It matches the Rfam family "tRNA". Rfam says of the family: Transfer RNA (tRNA) molecules are approximately 80 nucleotides in length. Their secondary structure includes four short double-helical elements and three loops (D, anti-codon, and T loops). Further hydrogen bonds mediate the characteristic L-shaped molecular structure. tRNAs have two regions of fundamental functional importance: the anti-codon, which is responsible for specific mRNA codon recognition, and the 3' end, to which the tRNAs corresponding amino acid is attached (by aminoacyl-tRNA synthetases). tRNAs cope with the degeneracy of the genetic code in two manners: having more than one tRNA (with a specific anti-codon) for a particular amino acid; and 'wobble' base-pairing, i.e. permitting non-standard base-pairing at the 3rd anti-codon position. The record is from Rfam by way of RNAcentral. Lineage: Eukaryota; Metazoa; Chordata; Aves; Phoenicopteriformes; Phoenicopteridae.
GUCUCUGUGGCACAAUUGGUUAGUGCGUUCGGCUGUUAACCGAAAGGUUGGUGGUUUGGGCCCACUGAGGGACG